This 466-nucleotide ribosomal RNA is filed under the name uncultured bacterium. Its description in RNAcentral is "partial 16S ribosomal RNA". It matches the Rfam family "Bacterial small subunit ribosomal RNA", at positions 28 to 507 of the family's 1533-position model. The record is from RNAcentral.
GACGAACGCUGGCGGCGCGCCUAACACAUGCAAGUCGAACGAGCGAGCGAGAGCUUGCUUUCUUGAGCGAGUGGCGAACGGGUGAGUAACGCGUGAGGAACCUGCCUCUAAGAGGGGGACAACAGUUGGAAACGACUGCUAAUACCGCAUAAGCUCACGGUACCGCAUGGCACCGAGGGAAAAGGAGCAAUCCGCUUUGAGAUGGCCUCGCGUCCGAUUCGCUAGUAGGUGAGGUAACGGCCCACCAAGGCGACGAUCGGUAGCCGGACAGAGAGGUUGAACGGACACAUUGGGACUGAGAAACAGCCCAGAAUCCUACGGGAGGCAGGAGUGGGGAAUAUUGCAAAAUGGGGGGAGCGAUGAUGCAGCGACGACGCGUGAAGGAAGAAGGUCGGCGGAUUGUAAACUCCUGUUGUUGGGGAAGAUAAUGACGGUACCCAACAAGGAAGUGACGGCUAACUACGUG